This 99-nucleotide non-coding RNA is filed under the name Catenovulum agarivorans. Its description in RNAcentral is "TPP sequence". It matches the Rfam family "TPP riboswitch aptamer (THI element)". From Rfam's summary of the family: Vitamin B(1) in its active form thiamin pyrophosphate (TPP) is an essential coenzyme that is synthesised by coupling of pyrimidine and thiazole moieties in bacteria. The previously detected thiamin-regulatory element, thi box was extended, resulting in a new, highly conserved RNA secondary structure, the THI element, which is widely distributed in eubacteria and also occurs in some archaea. The record is from RNAcentral. RNAcentral also lists the same sequence under 1 other name. Lineage: Bacteria; Pseudomonadati; Pseudomonadota; Gammaproteobacteria; Alteromonadales; Alteromonadaceae.
UUUUACUUGUCGGAGUGCCCUUGGGCUGAGAUCGCAUUUGCGGGAUCCGUCGAACCUGAUCUGGGUUAAACCAGCGUAGGGAACAAGAUACUUUUCUGA